Neofelis nebulosa (Clouded leopard) is the source of this 979-nucleotide long non-coding RNA. RefSeq lists it as uncharacterized. The transcript is spliced from 3 exons. The record is from RefSeq and is a predicted model, not a curated record. NCBI's taxonomy places the organism in Eukaryota, Metazoa, Chordata, Mammalia, Carnivora, Felidae.
GAGUGAGAUGUAAACUUUUGUUCUGAUAAUCGUCUGAGUUAUCCACAACAGAGCCUACUGUUUCCUCACAAAGGACACUAGUUAUAAGGCAGGCAGGAUACAACUUUGUACCAUGGCAUAAAUAAAGUGCCCUUGACAGGGAAAGGGAAGAGGAAUUAGUUAUUUCUAAAGAAGUCGGGGAAUAUUCAGAAAGUAAAGAUGAGUGUGGCAGUCUGAAUGAAGCAACUAGAAAUUUAACACUGAGAUGGCAGUCAAGGAUAGGCCCUUAGGGAAAAUCUAAGAAUUAGACAAAGGCAAGGUAAUAGAGAAAACUGAGAAGACAGAGGGGAAAAGAAAAAACCAAAAGGAAAUGGUGAACUCAAACCCAGAAAGGAGAACAUUCCAAGUCAGAAACAGUUUAUAAAGUUGUUUCCUGGGAGAUCAUGAGAUGUCAUCUGAGAAGAGGCCAUUUGAUUUGAAAUUAUGGAAGUCUUGAAGACAAUCUAGAUUAUAGUCAUUUGAGAGAUGAAAAGGAGAGAGAGACAGAGCAUGAACGGGGAAGGGGCAGAGAGAGAGGGAGACACAGAAUCGGAAGCAGGCUCCAGGCUCUGAGCCAUCAGCCCAGUGCCUGACGCGGGGCUCGAACUCACGCUCCGCGAGAUUGUGACCUGAGCUGAAGUCGGACACUUAACCGACUGAGCCACCCAGGCGCCCCAAUGUAAUUACAAAUUAUUGUAAUAAUGAAGAAGACUCAGUCUAAUGGCAAGACUUAAAUAAUACCGAGACCACCAUGUGGAUGAGCUAGCCUGCUGAAGAAUGAAAAGCCACAUAUGGAAAAGAAUCCAGCACCCUGGUCAAAAGCCAUACAGCCAUGAGCUGAGAGCCUGUCCAUCACCAUAUAUGUAAGUAAGGCCAUGGUAGGUCAUUAAGCCACCAGCGAUCUCAGUAGAUCACAGACACAAGAGUAAGCCCAGCAGAGCUUAGCCAAACUUGUCCAGAC